AUCACUUUGAGUAGCGAGGACAUUUUAACAAUAUUAAUUCUUCCAAUCCAUGAACACGGGAUAUCUUUCCCUUUGUCUUCUCAGUUUCUUUCAUCAGUGUCUGACUCAAGCCAUGUGCUGGGAAACUCAAGGCCAAGAAGAGGUACGGGGCUCUAAUCUCACACACGGCCACCGGGAGGCGACAGACACGGGCCAAUACGCGGCCCUAGUGAAGGCGGAGGCCCCUGGGCUCUGGCCUCUUCCCCGCCCCCAAGGGCAGCCCCUCUUCUGCUCCUGGACCACGCAGACACUUUUCCUUCGAUUUCGGGCGUGUUCCGGCCCAGGCGGCAGUGGCAGGGGACUGGGCGCCCGAAGGGCCGCCCCUCAGGGGAGCCCCGCACCCAGGUCACGCCCUCGGAGCUCAGCCCACAGCUCCGCACGUGACCCCCGCCCAGAGUCCUUACCCGGCAGCCUCUGCGGCCGGAAGUUGUCUUCCCCGCCGCCUUCCCGGCAUCCCUCGCGCAGUGACCACACUUCCGCUGGUCGGGGAUCCGGAGCGAGUCUGGGCAUUAAUCGGCUGGAGCUAAUUACUCAGCGGCAGUUAGCUUGUGUUUUCCCCGAUCCUCGGGCCGCCUGCGUUGGUGCGGAGGGACGAGGGACAAGCGCCGCCUUCUGAGUCACCCUGAGGCGGCAGCGCGGGGGGAGUGUAGCCCGCCCCCCCCCCCCCCCCGCCACCCCGGAGAUCUUCUCCAGCGCCGCAUCCAGCCUGCUUGCUCGGCCCGCCGGGUGGGUCCUCAUCCCCGUGUCGAGUGCUGGCUCCCUGAAGAUGCCAUCAAAACAACCUGUCGCCAAGACAAAACUGAGUUUGUCGCGCCCCUUGUUCGAGGAGAGCACUCUCUUGAGAGAGUUCCUAGUCGAGUGGAGAUGGGAGGACAACGUUGGGGUAUUGAGGUUUUGGGGGUCUGAUUUAAGGUGGGUUUUUUGAUGCGGGAUUUAAUUAGGAUUGGGUAAGGAUUAUGUUGUAUACAGGCCUACCUUGGGGAUAUUGCGGGUUCGGUUCCAGACCACUGCAAUAAAGCGAAUAUCGCACUAAA
This is a long non-coding RNA of Equus quagga, 1073 nucleotides long. RefSeq lists it as uncharacterized. The record is from RefSeq and is a predicted model, not a curated record. The transcript is spliced from 2 exons. Lineage: Eukaryota; Metazoa; Chordata; Mammalia; Perissodactyla; Equidae.